Non-coding RNA from Macaca mulatta (Rhesus monkey), 435 nucleotides. NCBI's taxonomy places the organism in Eukaryota, Metazoa, Chordata, Mammalia, Primates, Cercopithecidae. The record is from RefSeq and is a predicted model, not a curated record.
UACAGGUGUGAGUCACUGGGCCUGGCCUAGUGUUGAGUAUUCUUACCUUAAUGCAGUAUAGGUAUUUGCAUAAGAGUAAUAAGAAUCUGUUUUUGGUGUUUUUUUAAAUUUAUUUAUUUAUUUAUUUAUUUAUUUAUUUUAAACAGGGCACAGUUGGAGACACUGGUUAUUCUACCAGGGUUUUGACUGGAAUGGCAUAUCACAUACAGACUCGUUUAAGGAAUCAAAGUUGAUAUAUGGAGCCAAAAAAAAGCCCCUUGCACAUGCUAGCUUCAUACCUUGUCUACUCAGUUCCAGUACAGGUUCCUGACCUGUGAAUGUGAGACUUUACAACCUGCUAAAAAUGAGCUUUCCUAAUAACUUGGGACCUACCCAUCUAGGAAUGAAUCACCCUGGCCACAAGAGAUUAAAAAACAAAAACAAGAACAACAACAA